RNAcentral lists this ribosomal RNA (484 nucleotides) under uncultured bacterium. RNAcentral's name for it is "bacterial SSU rRNA". It matches the Rfam family "Bacterial small subunit ribosomal RNA", at positions 30 to 507 of the family's 1533-position model. The record is from RNAcentral.
AUUGAACGCUGGCGGAAUGCUUUACACAUGCAAGUCGAACGGCAGCACGGGGGCAACCCUGGUGGCGAGUGGCGAACGGGUGAGUAAUGUAUCGGAACGUGCCCAGUCGUGGGGGAUAACGUAGUGAAAAUUACGCUAAUACCGCAUACGAUCUACGGAUGAAAGCGGGGGAUCGCAAGACCUCGCGCGAUUGGAGCGGCCGAUAUCAGAUUAGGUAGUUGGUGGGGUAAAGGCUCACCAAGCCGACGAUCUGUAGCUGGUCUGAGAAGACGACCAGCCACACUGGAACUGAGACACGGUCCAGACUCCUACGGGAGGCAGCAGUGGGGAAUUUUGGACAAUGGGCGCAAGCCUGAUCCAGCCAUUCCGCGUGCAGGAUGAAGGCCCUCGGGUUGUAAACUGCUUUUGUACGGAGCGAAAAGGCUCUCUCUAAUACAGGGGGCUCAUGACGGUACCGUAAGAAUAAGCACCGGCUAACUACGUG